GGUGGGCGACCUAGAACUUAAAUGUAUUCUCGCAUUUUACUGGUGGGCGACCUAGAACUUAGAUGUAUUCCCGCAUUUUACUGGUGGGCGACCUAGAACUUAAAUGUUUCCCGCAUUUUACUGGUGGGCGACCUAGAACUUAAAAGUAUUCCCGUAUUUUACUGGUGGGCGACCUAGAACUUAAAUGUAUUGAAAUUGUUUCCCCGUUCUACCGAGAAAAUUUUCGACAAUCGGCAGAAAAUUUUCUGCCCCGGUUUUUUGGUGAUUUCCAUGGCGUUGCGUCUUGCUGCCAUCAUUAAUCCUUUGUUUUCCUGCAGCAGACAAAAGGAUUUAGUUAGUUUUAAUCGUGGUGGGAGGAGGUGCCGUUCUGGCGGAUGAUUUUUCUCUCCUCCCCUUUUUUUGCUCUAUGCCCCCAUAAUUGGUUGGUGGACAGAAUUGCUUGCUGAGGGUUUCCGGCCUGCUGGGGGU
RNAcentral lists this long non-coding RNA (468 nucleotides) under Nicotiana tabacum (common tobacco). RNAcentral describes it as "long non-coding RNA (NTAB_LNC017421)". The record is from RNAcentral. Lineage: Eukaryota; Viridiplantae; Streptophyta; Magnoliopsida; Solanales; Solanaceae.